CCUACGGGUGGCAGCAGUAGGGAAUAUUCGUCAAUGGGCGCAAGCCUGAACGAGCGAUGCCGCGUGAGUGAAGAAGGCCUUCGGGACGUAAAGCCCUGUUGCGGGGGAAAAAAAGCAGCAUCAGUAAAUGGAUGCUGACUGAUGGUGCGACGCCAGAAAGUCACGGCGAACUACGUGCCAGGAGCUGCGGCAAUACGGAGGUGGCGAGCGUUGUCCGGAAUGAUUGGGCGGGAAGGGUGCGCAGGCGGUCCUGAAAUGCUGGAGGUAAACGCAUGAGCUCAAAUCAUGCAUGGCUGUGGAAACUGGAGGGCUGGAGUGCAGGAGAGGUAGGUGGAACUCCAUGUGUAGCGGUGAAAUGCGUAGAUAUAUGGAAGAACACC
This 380-nucleotide ribosomal RNA is filed under the name uncultured bacterium. RNAcentral describes it as "partial 16S ribosomal RNA". It matches the Rfam family "Bacterial small subunit ribosomal RNA", at positions 338 to 710 of the family's 1533-position model. The record is from RNAcentral.